CGCAUAUUUGGAUUGCCGAAGAUUGUCCCUCGGUACAUACCGUACGUCUCACCACGUCAAUUCCACAAUGCUUUGAAACGCCUUAGCAAACAACCGCAGCCAGCUUUCAGGAUUUGAGCAUUUCCAUUUGGAUCGACUGCUGAUUUCUCUGCACCUGUUAACAUGGUCAACGUACACAAAGGCGUUCUUGUUGAAUGUGAUCCUGCCAUGAAACAGUUCCUCCUCUACUUGGAUGAAAAAAUGGCCCUGGGAAAGAAAUUCAUCCUCAAGGACCUUGACGACACACACCUCUUCAUCCUGGCAGAGGUGGUACAGACCCUCCAGGAGAGAGUUGGCGAGUUAAUGGACCAGAACUCAUUCACCGUCACGCAGAAAUAAUAUUCAACUGUUCCAAAGAAGUCUUGCUUCUUUGAUUUAGGGCAGUUUAAGAGUUUGUCUUUAGAUGAACACGGUUUGCAUUGUUUUGACAAUAUAAUUCACCAGGAACAUGGAUCUAACUUGCAGCCAAACAAAGCAGCAGCAUAAAAAGACCGAGAAGAAAUGUCGGAAACUUUUGCAAAUGUCUAACUUGCAACUGAGACAUCCGAACUUAGUUCUCUGUGGGGGAAUAUAAUGGGUUUGACCGGUCUGGCGAAAAAUUAGGCCACACAGCAGUUUAAGAGCUUUGGUAGCCUCUAGUGUAGAAUGGAGCUGACUGCAUGAUUCAACCCUACACUGAACAUUUGAAACAGAACGGACUCGUAUCUCGUACCACACAACGCAUUCAUUCGCUGAUUUUUUUUCAGCAAAUUGUCAACCUUCAGAUUAUUUCAAAACAUGUUUCAUUAGA
RNA transcript from Etheostoma cragini (Arkansas darter), 829 nucleotides. It is a transcript of the gene named general transcription factor IIH, polypeptide 5, with no coding region annotated. The transcript has 4 exons. Lineage: Eukaryota; Metazoa; Chordata; Actinopteri; Perciformes; Percidae. The record is from RefSeq and is a predicted model, not a curated record.